AUAACAAUUUGUGAUGCUUUAGGGAGCCUAUUGUUUGAUGGUUUAUAGGAGCCAGAUUUGUCUUUUUGACUAAUUUUCAACCUAUUCUUACUUCCAAAACUGUUGCAAUGGCUCUCGUUUUUGUUAAAUUUUUCUCUUUUCUCUUCUUUGGCAUAGUUUAUUUUUAAUAAAUUAUUUCAGGGUGAGAUAGAGAAAGAAUAAUGAGUAUCGUAGAUAAAUCUUCGGUUCCGAAUAGUGUAACUGUUGGUGCUGAGGUAAUCCAUCUUUAAAACCAUCGCCGUUAGAGGUUGCUUCUGAUAUUUUCGGUUAAGCGACCCAUGAAAUGGUGAUGACCUGAGGUAUGGAACAU
This 349-nucleotide small nucleolar RNA is filed under the name Saccharomyces cerevisiae Kyokai no. 7. RNAcentral's name for it is "K7_snR42". It matches the Rfam family "Small nucleolar RNA snR42". The record is from RNAcentral. Lineage: Eukaryota; Fungi; Ascomycota; Saccharomycetes; Saccharomycetales; Saccharomycetaceae.